This 301-nucleotide ribosomal RNA is filed under the name uncultured bacterium. RNAcentral's name for it is "partial 16S ribosomal RNA". It matches the Rfam family "Bacterial small subunit ribosomal RNA", at positions 509 to 807 of the family's 1533-position model. The record is from RNAcentral.
CAGUAGCCGCGGUAAUACGAAGGGGGCUAGCGUUACUCGGAAUUACUGGGCGUAAAGGGCGCGUAGGCGGCACGAUUAGUCAGGCGUGAAAUUCCUGGGCUCAACCUGGGGACUGCGCUUGAUACGGUCGAGCUAGAGGAUGGAAGAGGGUCGUGGAAUUCCCAGUGUAGCGGUGAAAUGCGUAGAGAUCUGGAGGAAUACCGAUGGCGAAGGCAGCCAUCUGGCCUAAUACUGACGCUGAGGUACGAAAGCAUGGGGAGCAAACAGGAUUAGAUACCCGAGUAGUCCCUGUCUCUUAUAC